Molecule: ribosomal RNA, 436 nt
Filed under: uncultured Roseiflexus sp.
Lineage: Bacteria; Bacillati; Chloroflexota; Chloroflexia; Chloroflexales; Roseiflexaceae
Description: bacterial SSU rRNA
Rfam family: Bacterial small subunit ribosomal RNA
Source: RNAcentral
CGGGGGGCUGCAGCAAGGAAUUUUCGGCAAUGGGCGCAAGCCUGACCGAGCAACGCCGCGUGGAGGACGACGGCCUUCGGGUUGUAAACUCCUUUUACGGGGGACGACAUCGACUGUACCCCGCGAAUCAGGCUCGGCUAACUCUGUGCCAGCAGCCGCGGUAAGACAGAGGAGCCAAGCGUUGUCCGGAUUGACUGGGCGUAAAGCGCACGCAGGCGGCUGGGCACGUGGGGUGUGAAACCUGGCGGCUUAACUGCCAGACGCCAUCCCAUACGGCCCGGCUCGAGGCAGGCAGAGGUUCGUGGAAUUGCCGGUGUAGUGGUGAAAUGCGUAGAGAUCGGCAGGAACACCAAGGGCGAAAGCAGCGAACUGGGCCUGGUCUGACGCUCAGGUGCGAAAGCGUGGGGAGCGAACCGGAUUAGAUACCCCGGUAGUC